Non-coding RNA from Mycena vulgaris, 98 nucleotides. The record is from the annotation of a GenBank genome assembly. Lineage: Eukaryota; Fungi; Basidiomycota; Agaricomycetes; Agaricales; Mycenaceae.
GACCUAAUGGCGAAAUAAUAUCGCGUCCGUCUCUCAUAAGGGCGAAAAGCCGGGCCAGUUGUGUGCGGAAGGUCCCCGUUCGAUUCGGGGUUAGGUCG